UUAAUUACUGGAAGAAAACCUUUAGAUAAUGGAGGGGACACUAUUAUUAAUUGGGCUAAGGAUCGGAUUGGACAAGCAUUGGAAAAUAAUGAAUAUACUGAUCUUGUUGAUUCCAGAUUACGAGAGUACAAUGAGGAGGAAAUGAUAAGAAUGAUUUGUUGUGCUGCAGCUUCAGUAUAUAAACCUUCUCGCUCUCGACCAAUAAUGAAACAGAUAAUUAGAGUUCUUGAAGGAACUAUACCUCAUGUGAAGAUAAUGAAUUGGAAAGACAUCGAAACUCUUCAAGGAAGGCCUACUACUAAUCUAGAAUCUGUACUUAGCGUUGAGAG
RNAcentral lists this unclassified non-coding RNA (329 nucleotides) under Hevea brasiliensis (rubber tree). The record is from RNAcentral. Lineage: Eukaryota; Viridiplantae; Streptophyta; Magnoliopsida; Malpighiales; Euphorbiaceae.